GAUGAACGCUAGCUACAGGCUUAACACAUGCAAGUCGAGGGGAAACGACAUCGAAAGCUUGCUUUUGAUGGGCGUCGACCGGCGCACGGGUGGGUAACGCGUAUCCAACCUGCCCAUCACUUGGGAAUAACCUUGCGAAAGUAAGACUAAUACCCAAUGACAUCCCACGAAGACAUCUGAAUGGGAUUAAAGAUUUAUCGGUGAUGGAUGGGGAUGCGUCUGAUUAGCUUGUUGGCGGGGUAACGGCCCACCAAGGCAACGAUCAGUAGGGGUUCUGAGAGGAAGGGCCCCCACAUUGGAACUGAGACACGGUCCAAACUCAUACGGGAGGCAGCAGUGAGGAAUAGUGGUCAAUGGGCGAGAGCCUGAACCAGCCAAGUAGCGUGCAGGAUGACGGCCCUAUGGGUUGUAAACUGCUUUUAUAAGGGAAUAAAGUGGGUCUCGUGAGACUUUUUGCAUGUACCUUAUGAAUAAGGACCGGCUAAUUCAGUG
RNAcentral lists this ribosomal RNA (492 nucleotides) under uncultured bacterium. RNAcentral's name for it is "partial 16S ribosomal RNA". It matches the Rfam family "Bacterial small subunit ribosomal RNA", at positions 28 to 507 of the family's 1533-position model. The record is from RNAcentral.